RNAcentral lists this ribosomal RNA (460 nucleotides) under uncultured bacterium. RNAcentral describes it as "partial 16S ribosomal RNA". It matches the Rfam family "Bacterial small subunit ribosomal RNA", at positions 338 to 795 of the family's 1533-position model. The record is from RNAcentral.
CCUACGGGGGGCAGCAGUGAGGAAUAUUGGUCAAUGGACGAGAGUCUGAACCAGCCAAGUAGCGUGAAGGAUGACUGCCCUAUGGGUUGUAAACUUCUUUUAUAUGGGAAUAAAAUGUUCCACGUGUGGGAUUUUGUAUGUACCAUAUGAAUAAGGAUCGGCUAACUUCGUGCCAGCAGCCGCGGUAAUACGGAGGAUCCGAGCGUUAUCCGGAUUUAUUGGGUUUAAAGGGAGCGUAGGUGGAUUGUUAAGUCAGUUGUGAAAGUUUGCGGCUCAACCGUAAAAUUGCAGUUGAAACUGGCAGUCUUGAGUACAGUAGAGGUGGGCGGAAUUCGUGGUGUAGCGGUGAAAUGCUUAGAUAUCACGAAGAACUCCGAUUGCGAAGGCAGUUCACUGGACUGCAACUGACACUGAGGCUCGAAAGUGUGGGUAUCAAACAGGAUUAGAUACCCUUGUAGUC